GCGGUGGAGCAUGUGGUUUAAUUCGAUGCAACGCGAAGAACCUUACCUGGUCUUGACAUCCACGGAAGUUUUCAGAGAUGAGAAUGUGCCUUCGGGAACCGUGAGACAGGUGCUGCAUGGCUGUCGUCAGCUCGUGUUGUGAAAUGUUGGGUUAAGUCCCGCAACGAGCGCAACCCUUAUCCUUUGUUGCCAGCGGUCCGGCCGGGAACUCAAAGGAGACUGCCAGUGAUAAACUGGAGGAAGGUGGGGAUGACGUCAAGUCAUCAUGGCCCUUACGACCAGGGCUACACACGUGCUACAAUGGCGCAUACAAAGAGAAGCGACCUCGCGAGAGCAAGCGGACCUCAUAAAGUGCGUCGUAGUCCGGAUUGGAGUCUGCAACUCGACUCCAUGAAGUCGGAAUCGCUAGUAAUCGUGGAUCAGAAUGCCACGGUGAAUACGUUCCCGGGCCUUGUACACACCGCCCGUCACACCAUGGGAGUGGGUUGCAAAAGAAGUAGGUAGCUUAACCUUCGGGAGGGCGCUUACCACUUUGUGAUUCAUGACUGGGGUGAAGUCGUAACAAGGUAACCGUAGGGGAACCUGCGGUUGGAUCACCUCCUUACCUUAAAGAAGC
Molecule: ribosomal RNA, 616 nt
Filed under: Enterococcus durans
Lineage: Bacteria; Bacillati; Bacillota; Bacilli; Lactobacillales; Enterococcaceae
Description: bacterial SSU rRNA
Rfam family: Bacterial small subunit ribosomal RNA
Source: RNAcentral